RNAcentral lists this ribosomal RNA (253 nucleotides) under uncultured bacterium. Its description in RNAcentral is "partial 16S ribosomal RNA". It matches the Rfam family "Archaeal small subunit ribosomal RNA", at positions 474 to 727 of the family's 1478-position model. The record is from RNAcentral.
UACCAGCACCCCGAGUGGUCGGGACGAUUAUUGGGCCUAAAGCAUCCGUAGCCGGUUCUACAAGUCUUCCGUUAAAUCCACCUGCUUAACAGAUGGGCUGCGGAGGAUACUAUGGAGCUAGGAGGCGGGAGAGGCAAGCGGUACUUAGUGGGUAGGGGCAAAAUCCGUUGAUCCAUUGAAGACCACCAGUGGCGAAGGCGGCUUGCCAGAACGCACUCGACGGUGAGGGAUGAAAGCUGGGGGAGCAAACCGG